GAUGAACGCUGGCGGCGUGCCUAACACAUGCAAGUCGAACGGAGUCGUUUUGGAAAUCUCUUCGGAGAUGGAAUUCUCGACUUAGUGGCGGACGGGUGAGUAACGCGUGAGCAAUCUGCCUUUAAGAGGGGGAUAACAGUCGGAAACGGCUGCUAAUACCGCAUAAAGCAUUAAAUUCGCAUGUUUUUGAUGCCAAAGGAGCAAUCCGCUUUUAGAUGAGCUCGCGUCUGAUUAGCUAGUUGGCGGGGUAACGGCCCACCAAGGCGACGAUCAGUAGCCGGACUGAGAGGUUGACCGGCCACAUUGGGACGGAGACACGGCCCAGACUCCUACGGGAGGCAGCAGUGGGGAAUAUUGCGCAAUGGGGGAAACCCUGACGCAGCAACGCCGCGUGAUUGAAGAAGGCCUUCGGGUUGUAAAGAUCUUUAAUCAGGGACGAAACAAAUGACGGUACCUGAAGAAUAAGCUCCGGCUAACUACG
This 481-nucleotide ribosomal RNA is filed under the name uncultured bacterium. Its description in RNAcentral is "partial 16S ribosomal RNA". It matches the Rfam family "Bacterial small subunit ribosomal RNA", at positions 28 to 505 of the family's 1533-position model. The record is from RNAcentral.